RNAcentral lists this ribosomal RNA (468 nucleotides) under uncultured Streptococcus sp. RNAcentral's name for it is "bacterial SSU rRNA". It matches the Rfam family "Bacterial small subunit ribosomal RNA", at positions 916 to 1381 of the family's 1533-position model. The record is from RNAcentral. Lineage: Bacteria; Bacillati; Bacillota; Bacilli; Lactobacillales; Streptococcaceae.
GACGGGGCCCGCACAAGCGGUGGAGCAUGUGGCUUAAUUCGAAGCAACGCGAAGAACCUUUACCAGGUCUUGACAUCCGAUGCUUAUUUCUAGAGAUAGAAAGUUACUUCGGUACAUCGGUGACAGGUGGUGCAUGGUUGUCGUCAGCUCGUGUCGUGAGAUGUUGGGUUAAGUCCCGCAACGAGCGCAACCCCUAUUGUUAGUUGCCAUCAUUCAGUUGGGCACUCUAGCGAGACUGCCGGUAAUAAACCGGAGGAAGGUGGGAUGACGUCAAAUCAUCAUGCCCCUUAUGACCUGGGCUACACACGUGCUACAAUGGUUGGUACAACGAGUUGCGAGUCGGUGACGGCGAGCUAAUCUCUUAAAGCCAAUCUCAGUUCGGAUUGUAGGCUGCAACUCGCCUACAUGAAGUCGGAAUCGCUAGUAAUCGCGGAUCAGCACGCCGCGGUGAAUACGUUCCCGGGCCUU